CCUUAACCUGCUAAAUAGCCCGACCCGCCUCGGCGGGCCGCCGGCUUCUUAGAGGGACUAUCGGCUCAAGCCGAUGGAAGUUUGAGGCAAUAACAGGUCUGUGAUGCCCUUAGAUGUUCUGGGCCGCACGCGCGCUACACUGACAGGGCCAACGAGUCUUCCACCUUGCCCGAAAGGGUUGGGUAAUCUUGUUAAACCCUGUCGUGCUGGGGAUCGGGCAUUGCAAUUAUUGCCCGUCAACGAGGAAUGCCUAGUAAGCGCAUGUCAUCAGCAUGCGUUGAUUACGUCCCUGCCCUUUGUACACACCGCCCGUCGCUACUACCGAUUGAAUGGCUCAGUGAGGCCUUCGGAGUGCUCCAGGGAGGUCGGCAACGACCACCCAGGAGCGCAAAGUUCGUCAAACUCGGUCAUUUAGAGGAAGUAAAAGUCG
RNAcentral lists this ribosomal RNA (430 nucleotides) under Capnodiales sp. RNAcentral describes it as "SSU rRNA". It matches the Rfam family "Eukaryotic small subunit ribosomal RNA", at positions 1341 to 1791 of the family's 1831-position model. Lineage: Eukaryota; Fungi; Ascomycota; Dothideomycetes; Capnodiales. The record is from RNAcentral.